RNAcentral lists this ribosomal RNA (165 nucleotides) under Burckella macropoda. RNAcentral's name for it is "5.8S ribosomal RNA". It matches the Rfam family "5.8S ribosomal RNA". From Rfam's summary of the family: 5.8S ribosomal RNA (5.8S rRNA) is a component of the large subunit of the eukaryotic ribosome. It is transcribed by RNA polymerase I as part of the 45S precursor that also contains 18S and 28S rRNA. Functionally, it is thought that 5.8S rRNA may be involved in ribosome translocation. Lineage: Eukaryota; Viridiplantae; Streptophyta; Magnoliopsida; Ericales; Sapotaceae. RNAcentral also lists the same sequence under 1 other name. The record is from RNAcentral.
AUAAUGACUCUCGGCAACGGAUAUCUCGGCUCUCGCAUCGAUGAAGAACGUAGCGAAAUGCGAUACUUGGUGUGAAUUGCAGAAUCCCGCGAACCAUCGAGUCUUUGAACGCAAGUUGCGCCCGAAGCCAUUAGGUUGAGGGCAUGCCUGCCUGGGCGUCUCACA